GACGAACGCUGGCGGCGUGCUUAACACAUGCAAGUCGAACGGAAAGGCCCUGCGUUUGUGGGGUGCUCGAGUGGCGAACGGGUGAGUAAGACGUGAGUAACCUGCCCUUGACUUUGGGAUAACUUCAGGAAACUGGGGCUAAUACCGGAUAGGAGCCCCUGCUGCAUGGUGGGGGGUGGAAAGUUUCGGCGGUUGGGGAUGGACUCGCGGCUUAUCAGCUUGUUGGUGGGGUAGUGGCUUACCAAGGCUUUGACGGGUAGCCGGCCUGAGAGGGUGACCGGCCACAUUGGGACUGAGAUACGGCCCAGACUCCUACGGGAGGCAGCAGUGGGGAAUAUUGCACAAUGGGCGGAAGCCUGAUGCAGCAACGCCGCGUGCGGGAUGACGGCCUUCGGGUUGUAAACCGCUUUCGCCUGUGACGAAGCGUGAGUGACGGUAAUGGGUAAAGAAGCACCGGCUAACUACGUG
This 468-nucleotide ribosomal RNA is filed under the name uncultured bacterium. Its description in RNAcentral is "partial 16S ribosomal RNA". It matches the Rfam family "Bacterial small subunit ribosomal RNA", at positions 28 to 507 of the family's 1533-position model. The record is from RNAcentral.